GAUAAAUGUGUCUCUAGAGGGGGAAUUACGCAGUUUUGUAAAAAAAUAUACACGUAGCAGUGUAAUUCCCCUUUUCUUUUACUUUGCUUUGUGAAUUUCUGCAGACAUAUUAUCUAAAAUGGAGCCAGUAAUUAAAGGUGUGGCAAUUGGCGUUGUCGCUGCAGUCGCGUUGCUUACUUUGCUUGUCGAGUGGUGGCAACACCAGAAUAUACCGGAACCACAAGAAGCAUAUGGAAGACGUCCAAGAAGGAAUAAUUGAAUAGCGCCACAAGAAAACUCUUUUUACGCUGAUGGCGCGUAAUCAAGCAAUAAGAAUGUUAUAACAUUAUUUAAUGUAAGGAUAAUGUUAUUGGAAUUCAUUUGACAUAUUAAAUGAUGUAAUCAAAUUA
Nymphalis io (European peacock) is the source of this 389-nucleotide long non-coding RNA. RefSeq lists it as uncharacterized. The transcript is spliced from 3 exons. Lineage: Eukaryota; Metazoa; Arthropoda; Insecta; Lepidoptera; Nymphalidae. The record is from RefSeq and is a predicted model, not a curated record.